RNAcentral lists this long non-coding RNA (204 nucleotides) under Carica papaya (papaya). RNAcentral's name for it is "long non-coding RNA (CPAP_LNC013786)". The record is from RNAcentral. Lineage: Eukaryota; Viridiplantae; Streptophyta; Magnoliopsida; Brassicales; Caricaceae.
UGAAUGAUCUUUUGUCUUAAAUCAAGUACGAGAGUAUGCAUCUAGCAUUUAUUAUGAGAUACAAUUAACAUAUUACAGAGAUGUUAAGGCAAUAAUAACAAAUAAAACUUAAACGAAAAACUUCUAUCAAUUUGAUAUUUGCUUAGAAGUGCUAGAGGGCAUGUUUCUACUUCCAUUUAUAGUUAAAUUAGCAUAGUUUACUAA